This 440-nucleotide ribosomal RNA is filed under the name uncultured bacterium. RNAcentral's name for it is "partial 16S ribosomal RNA". It matches the Rfam family "Bacterial small subunit ribosomal RNA", at positions 338 to 795 of the family's 1533-position model. The record is from RNAcentral.
CCUACGGGAGGCAGCAGUGGGGAAUAUUGCACAAUGGGGGAAACCCUGAUGCAGCGACGCCGCGUGAGUGAAGAAGUAUUUCGGUACGUUAAGCUCUAUCAGCAGGGAAGAAAAUGACGGUACCUGACUAAGAAGCCCCGGAUAACUACGUGCCAGCAGCCGCGGUAAUACGUAGGGGGCAAGCGUUCUCCGGAUUGACGGGGUGUAAGGGGAGCGUAGACGGCAGCGCAAGUCUGGAGUGAAAUCCCAGGGCGUAACCAUGGAACUGCUGUGGAAACUGUGCAGCUAGAGUGCAGGAGAGGUAAGCGGAAUUCCUAGUGUAGCGGUGAAAUGCGUAGAUAUUAGGAGGAACACCAGUGGCGAAGGCGGCUUACUGGACUGUAACUGACGUUGAGGCUCGAAAGCGUGGGGAGCAAACAGGAUUAGAUACCCUUGUAGUC